AAAAAAAAAAAAAAAAACCAAAUAUUUUCGCUAAUUAACAGUUGUAUCCAAAUAUUCUAAUUUUGAACCAACAUUUAAUAUUGAGAGCAAUUGUAUCCAAACCUCAAAAUCUGUGUGAUCAAAAUUCAUAUUUUAGUAUUUUAGGGUGUUAAACUAUUAUUCGAGUUUAUUUUGUUAUUAGAGAAAAAGUUUGGCCUUCUUGUCCAAUGAGUCUCAAAUAAAAUUGAGGCUCUAUAUCCCCUAAUGUAUAACAAAUAUUAUGAUGCUACAACUUUAUCAUUUUCAGAAUUAAGUCCUAAAAGAUUUUUUUUAUUUUUCUAUUUUUUUACAUUCAAGUCCUAAUGUCUUUGAAAUAGCUAACCAUUAGUCCUAUGGUCAACACCAAAUUCCACAGGACAAUGCUAACUUUAAAAAAGAAUUUUAGUGCUAAUACUUUAAAAAUAACUCUUUUUUUUUUCUGCUCUGCUCUUUUUCAACUUUUUCCUAUUCAAUUUGCCAAAAAAAAAAAUGUAAUAGUUCACCAAAAUCACAUAAAAAGAUGUAACUUUUCAACCAACAAAAAAAUAAAAAUUUUCACAUUAAAAUUUCUUUCCUCGUACAACAAAUUAAAAUAUUUUAAGAUUUAUUUUUUCAUUCAGUUAUCUUUGAAUCUUCAAUUUUACUUAAAUUUUAAGUUGAACAACUUGAAUUAUUUAAUAUACGACUCAAAAUUUCAAAUUAAAAUUCAGUCAUAUUCUAAAAUAAUUCAACAAAUAACAAUGUAAAGUUCAUAAUGAAUUUUGUUCAAACCAAUAAAUGACAAUCUAAGAUUGACCAUAUCUUAAAUAAUCUAAGAUGUGCAACUUAAAAUUUAAGCAUUGGAGAUUCAAAGGUAAUUAAAGAAAA
RNAcentral lists this unclassified non-coding RNA (885 nucleotides) under Hevea brasiliensis (rubber tree). The record is from RNAcentral. Lineage: Eukaryota; Viridiplantae; Streptophyta; Magnoliopsida; Malpighiales; Euphorbiaceae.